Molecule: ribosomal RNA, 406 nt
Filed under: uncultured bacterium
Lineage: Bacteria
Description: partial 16S ribosomal RNA
Rfam family: Bacterial small subunit ribosomal RNA
Source: RNAcentral
AUUGAACGCUGGCGGCAGGCUUAACACAUGCAAGUCGAACGAGCGGCGGACGGGUGAGUAAUGUCUGGGAAACUGCCUGAUGGAGGGGGAUAACUACUGGAAACGGUAGCUAAUACCGCAUACCAUCAGAUGUGCCCAGAUGGGAUUAGCUAGUAGGUGGGGUAAAGGCUCACCUAGGCGACGAUCCCUAGCUGGUCUGAGAGGAUGACCGGCCAGACUGGAACUGAGACACGGUCCAGACUCCUACGGGAGGAAGCAGUGGGGAAUAUUGCACAAUGGGCGCAAGCCUGAGCAAGCAAUGCCGCGGGUGUGAAGAAGGCCUUCGGGUUGUAAAGCACUUUCAGCGAGGAGGCGUUACUCGAAGAAAAAGCACCGGCUAACUCCGUGCCAGCAGCCGCGGUAAUAC